This is a long non-coding RNA of Nannospalax galili (Upper Galilee mountains blind mole rat), 131 nucleotides long. RefSeq lists it as uncharacterized. The transcript has 3 exons. Lineage: Eukaryota; Metazoa; Chordata; Mammalia; Rodentia; Spalacidae. The record is from RefSeq and is a predicted model, not a curated record.
UGGAGUUGGGGGCCUGGUGCUGGGGCUCAUCUUCCUGGCAGUGGGCCUCAUCAUGCACGUGAGGAGCAAGAAAGCUCAACGAGGAUCUCGAUAAGCAGGCUUCUUGAUCUGACCUGAAAGACUGCGCGUGU